AGUGAACGCUGGCGGUAGGCCUAACACAUGCAAGUCGAACGGCAGCACAGUAAGAGCUUGCUCUUACGGGUGGCGAGUGGCGGACGGGUGAGGAAUACAUCGGAAUCUACUUUUUCGUGGGGGAUAACGUAGGGAAACUUACGCUAAUACCGCAUACGACCUACGGGUGAAAGCAGGGGAUCUUCGGACCUUGCGCGAUUGAAUGAGCCGAUGUCGGAUUAGCUCGUUGGCGGGGUAAAGGCACACCAAGGCGACGAUCCGUAGCUGGUCUGAGAGGGUGAACAGGCAGACUGGAACUGAGACAGAGUACCGACUCCUACGGGGGGCAGCAGUGGGGAAUAUUAGACGAUGGGGGCGAGCCUGAUCCAGCCAUACCGCGUGAGUGAUGAAGGACUUCGGGUUGGAAAGCCCUGUUGUUGGGAAAGAAAAACAGCAGUUUAAUACCGCGCUGUUCUGACGGUACCCAAAGAAUAAGCACCGGCUAACUUCGUG
Molecule: ribosomal RNA, 492 nt
Filed under: uncultured bacterium
Lineage: Bacteria
Description: partial 16S ribosomal RNA
Rfam family: Bacterial small subunit ribosomal RNA
Source: RNAcentral